This 104-nucleotide small nuclear RNA is filed under the name Leptinotarsa decemlineata (Colorado potato beetle). Lineage: Eukaryota; Metazoa; Arthropoda; Insecta; Coleoptera; Chrysomelidae. The record is from RNAcentral.
GUCCUCGGGGCGGUACAUAUACUAAAAUUGGAACGAUACAGAGAAGAUUGGCAUGGCCCCUGCGCAAGGAUGACACGCAAAAUCGUGAAGCGUUCCACAUUUUU